CAGUUGGUUUUUGUCUUAUGCUAGUGAUUUCUCUUAUUAUGCCAAUUGAUUUAGAUGGUGGGAAGUAUUUGUCCAAAAAGGCUUGGACCAUAUCAUCCCAAGAAGUUAUAGAUCCAGGUGGCAAAUAAAAUAACCAAUCCUUAGCAUGGUCAUCUAAUGAAAAAGGGAAAGCUCUUAGUUUAACAUGAUCUUCAGAGAUCCCUUGAG
Molecule: long non-coding RNA, 207 nt
Filed under: Manihot esculenta (cassava)
Lineage: Eukaryota; Viridiplantae; Streptophyta; Magnoliopsida; Malpighiales; Euphorbiaceae
Description: long non-coding RNA (MESC_LNC004823)
Source: RNAcentral